CGGGAUAUAGCGCAGUUUGGUAGCGCGCCUGCUUUGGGAGCAGGAUGUCGCAGGUUCAAGUCCUGCUAUCCCGA
This 74-nucleotide transfer RNA is filed under the name Gracilaria gracilis. RNAcentral describes it as "tRNA-Pro". It matches the Rfam family "tRNA". Rfam says of the family: Transfer RNA (tRNA) molecules are approximately 80 nucleotides in length. Their secondary structure includes four short double-helical elements and three loops (D, anti-codon, and T loops). Further hydrogen bonds mediate the characteristic L-shaped molecular structure. tRNAs have two regions of fundamental functional importance: the anti-codon, which is responsible for specific mRNA codon recognition, and the 3' end, to which the tRNAs corresponding amino acid is attached (by aminoacyl-tRNA synthetases). tRNAs cope with the degeneracy of the genetic code in two manners: having more than one tRNA (with a specific anti-codon) for a particular amino acid; and 'wobble' base-pairing, i.e. permitting non-standard base-pairing at the 3rd anti-codon position. Lineage: Eukaryota; Rhodophyta; Florideophyceae; Gracilariales; Gracilariaceae. RNAcentral also lists the same sequence under 56 other names. The record is from RNAcentral.